This 460-nucleotide ribosomal RNA is filed under the name uncultured bacterium. RNAcentral's name for it is "partial 16S ribosomal RNA". It matches the Rfam family "Bacterial small subunit ribosomal RNA", at positions 338 to 795 of the family's 1533-position model. The record is from RNAcentral.
CCUACGGUGGGCAGCAGUGAGGAAUAUUGGUCAAUGGACGAGAGUCUGAACCAGCCAAGUAGCGUGAAGGAUGACUGCCCUAUGGGUUGUAAACUUCUUUUAUAAAGGAAUAAAACGAGGCACGUGUGCCUUUUUGCAUGUACUUUAUGAAUAAGGAUCGGCUAACUCCGUGCCAGCAGCCGCGGUAAUACGGAGGAUCCGAGCGUUAUCCGGAUUUAUUGGGUUUAAAGGGAGCGUAGAUGGGUUGUUAAGUCAGUUGUGAAAGUUUGCGGCUCAACCGUAAAAUUGCAAUUGAUACUGGCAGUCUUGAGUACAGUUGAGGUAGGCGGAAUGCGUGGUGUAGCGGUGAAAUGCUGAGAUAUCACGAAGAACCCCGAUUGCGAAGGCAGCUUACUAAGCUGUGACUGACAUUGAUGCUCGAAAGUGUGGGUAUCAAACAGGAUUAGAUACCCUGGUAGUC